GUUAUAGGGUCAAGUGAAUAAGUGCAUAUCGUGGAUGCCUUGGCGAUUACAGGCGAUGAAGGACGUUGUAGCCUGCGAUAAGCUGCGGGGAGCUGGCAAACAAGCUUUGAUCCGCAGAUUUCCGAAUGGGGAAACCCACCCGUAAGGGUAUCCCGUGCUGAAUACAUAGGCACGUGGAAGCGAACCCGGCGAACUGAAACAUCUAAGUAGCCGGAGGAAAAGAAAUCAACCGAGAUUCCGAAAGUAGUGGCGAGCGAAAUUGGAACAGCCUUGAAGUUUUAGCAUCUUAGUUAACAGAACGCUCUGGAAAGUGCGGCCAUAGUGGGUGAUAGCCCCGUAUGUGAAAACUCUGGUGUGGAACUAAGCUUCGAACAAGUAGGGCGGGACACGUGAAAUCCUGUCUGAACAUGGGGGGACCAUCCUCCAAGGCUAAAUACUCGUAAUCGACCGAUAGUGAACUAGUACCGUGAGGGAAAGGCGAAAAGAACCCCGGGAGGGGAGUGAAAUAGAUCCUGAAACGAUAUGCAUACAAACAGUCGGAGCCCGCAAGGGUGACGGCGUACCUUUUGUAUAAUGGGUCAGCGACUUACGUUUAGUAGCAAGCUUAACCAAUAGGGAAGGCGCAGCGAAAGCGAGUCCGAAUAGGGCGAUUAGUUGCUAGGCGUAGACCCGAAACCGGAUGAUCUACUCAUGGCCAGGGUGAAGGCACGGUAACACGUGCUGGAGGCCCGAACCCACUAGUGUUGCAAAACUAGGGGAUGAGCUGUGGGUAGGGGUGAAAGGCUAAACAAAUCCGGAAAUAGCUGGUUCUCCCCGAAAACUAUUUAGGUAGUGCCUCGCGUAUUGCUCCAGGGGGUAGAGCACUGUAAUGGUUGUUGGGGUCAUUGCGACUUACUUCGCCAUAGCAAACUCCGAAUACCUGGAAGUAUUAGCGCGGGAGACAGAGCACUGGGUGCUAACGUCCAGACUCAAGAGGGAAACAACCCAGACCGCCAGCUAAGGUCCCUAAUAUUGGCUAAGUGGGAAACGAAGUGGGAAGGCAUUGACAGUCAGGAGGUUGGCUUAGAAGCAGCCAUCCUUUAAAGAAAGCGUAAUAGCUCACUGAUCGAGUCGUCCUGCGCGGAAGAUGUAACGGGGCUAAGCCAAUAACCGAAGCUGCGGAUGUGCACUUUGUGCACGUGGUAGGGGAGCGUUCUGUACGCCUGCGAAGGUGUCUCGUAAGGGAUGCUGGAGGUAUCAGAAGUGCGAAUGCUGACAUGAGUAGCGUUAAACAAAGUGAAAAACUUUGUCGCCGAAAGCGCAAGGUUUCCUACGCAACGUUAAUCGACGUAGGGUGAGUCGGCCCCUAAGGCGAGGGUGAAAACCGUAGCUGAUGGGAAGCAGGUUAAUAUUCCUGCACCAUUGUUCAAUGCGAUGGGGGGACGGAGAAGGUUAGCUCAGCCGGGUGUUGGAUGUCCCGGUUUAAGCAUGUAGCCGUGCCUGGUAGGCAAAUC
Molecule: ribosomal RNA, 1493 nt
Filed under: Paracoccaceae bacterium
Lineage: Bacteria; Pseudomonadati; Pseudomonadota; Alphaproteobacteria; Rhodobacterales; Paracoccaceae
Description: Rhodobacteraceae bacterium (freshwater metagenome) partial 23S ribosomal RNA
Rfam family: Bacterial large subunit ribosomal RNA
Source: RNAcentral